GUGGGUAUAGUUCAGUGGUAGAGCACACACUUAGCAGGUAUGAGGUCCUGGGUUUGAUCCCCAAUAUCUCCA
This 72-nucleotide transfer RNA is filed under the name Camelus bactrianus (Bactrian camel). It matches the Rfam family "tRNA". From Rfam's summary of the family: Transfer RNA (tRNA) molecules are approximately 80 nucleotides in length. Their secondary structure includes four short double-helical elements and three loops (D, anti-codon, and T loops). RNAcentral also lists the same sequence under 2 other names. Lineage: Eukaryota; Metazoa; Chordata; Mammalia; Artiodactyla; Camelidae. The record is from Rfam by way of RNAcentral.